AAAUCAUCAUGCCCUUAUGACCUCGGGCUUACACACGGUACUACAAUGGCGCAUACAACGAGCUGCAAGAUGGUGACAUCAAGCGAAUCUCUUAAAAUGCGUCUCAGUUCGGAUUGGAGUCUGCAACUCGACUCCAUGAAGUCGGAAUCGCUAGUAAUCGCGGAUCAGCAUGCCGCGGUGAAUACCGGUUCUCGGGUUU
Molecule: ribosomal RNA, 199 nt
Filed under: uncultured Erysipelothrix sp.
Lineage: Bacteria; Bacillati; Bacillota; Erysipelotrichia; Erysipelotrichales; Erysipelotrichaceae
Description: partial 16S ribosomal RNA
Rfam family: Bacterial small subunit ribosomal RNA
Source: RNAcentral